GGACGUGCCUUGAUUUGAAUUACAUAAUUAUAUAAUUCGUCCGGGUUUAGUCGUAAAAUCAAAGUAAAUUUGGAUAGCAACAUUUAAAGAUUGUUAAGAAUGGACAAAGAAUCAGCCGAAUUCUCUGAUAAACAGACGAACAUGGACCACAGGUCAAAAAUUGCAUUUUUUCAAAUAAAGCAAAACCCACACAGCCCCCACGAAGGAAAACAGAUAUUCAAAGAGGAGAUAGUCAUGAAGCACAAUCAGCUUCAGCUAGAGCGCUGGAUGGUGAGUCAUCUCAAAGCCUAUCAACACGAACGAUAGACUCAACGGAUAAGAAGUCCGGCAAUAAAUUCGGGUAUGAAGUACGAGGGAAAAUAGUAAACGUCUCUGCCAGUCAAAACAUGUAAGCCAUUUUAUAAAUAGAU
Long non-coding RNA from Ruditapes philippinarum (Manila clam), 410 nucleotides. RefSeq lists it as uncharacterized. The record is from RefSeq and is a predicted model, not a curated record. The transcript has 5 exons. Lineage: Eukaryota; Metazoa; Mollusca; Bivalvia; Venerida; Veneridae.